ACAGGUCCCACAGCUGUGUAGGAGACAAGAGUCUGUUACGCUCGCAAGGCAGGUCUUAAUUACUAACUGCAAAUUGUUGUUUGGUGUUAAAGUGCUGGGAGAAGAUAAAUGAAAGCAGAGAAAACAUUCGGUGGCUGCUGAAAAAGGCCUACUACACCCAGACACGAGGAGAUGUCUCAUUAAUUAUUUGCUUUCAUCCCCUUUGGGCUCAAAAGACAGCAGCAAUAACAUUACUUUUGUUUGCAGCUAUGUGUUCUUCUUUGACUGAGUGCCUCAAAGACAGCAGCGGAAAUAAGGACUGCUAAGAACACAGUGAUCCUUCCUACAUUACUGAGCCAUUCAGGAUUACAGCUGUUAAACGCAAGCACAAGCAGUCUGUAUUCCACAGUCUGUUAGGAAACAACCCUUCCUUCCGGAGCGACAAAAUCUACAUCAAGUCCCACUUUUUCUUCUUUGGAGAACCUUCUGCAAGAAACACGCUGCCCUACUGCAAUAAGCAAGUAAGAAACAACUACUUAAAAUUGUACGCCCGCUGUUUGGAUGGCUGUGAUAUUUCUUCAUUGAGAUUUGCAGCUCUUCCAGGGUAGGGUAUAUAUGUGGACUAUAAUUCAAUGGACUACCAUCACAACAAAGUUACAUUCUUUGCCUGAUCUGAACUAAGUUUAAUCAAAGAGAGACCAUGUCCACCUUUCUGCCCAGGCCUAUAGCUCUGCUUCUCUUUGCACCAGUUCAAACAUUCACUCAACCCUGUGCAUAGCUAAUCUAGCUCAUUAAUCCAAAAGAAAAUUAUUGACUUUUCUAACAAAUAAAUGUAUCGCUGGAGAGAUAAAAAGCCCUAAGAGUUCAAGUGGAUGGAGAACCUUCUCUUUCAACAGCAAUGAGAAUAGAUUUGUUCAAGAUGGAACAUGCAACUCUAUCCACAGACUAAUCCAUACCUGUACAUGGCCCACUCUGCCAAACGUUGCUAUUACUAAAUGACAUCCUCAUUUUUUUACAGUCACAUCCCACCUUGUCACCGCUUCUUCAUUAAGAAAGCUUGUCUCUUGGUGUGAAUUUUUAUGGUAAAUAUUUCUGUCCUGUACUUCAGGGGAAAAAAGAAAAAAGGAUAACGUAUUAAUACUACAUGAGGAUGAUUAACUGUUUUCCUACCCAUUGAUACCUACUGAGAAUGAAAAUGGCACUACUGUUUUUCAACAAUUACCAUAGCAUUUAGGCAUCCAAAGGUCCAAAAAUAGUAGAGUCAUUCAGCCUUCAAACACUAAUUUUUAAUAGCUUUCCAUACAGCUCUAAAUUUAAAGGGCCAAAGGAAACCUCAAGUUAUCUGAAGAAUCAAAAAACACCAAAUGAGCCAGAUGACAACAGAUCUGAGUAUGGCAUCUUCAGUAAACACAAACAAAACAGUGGUGCUAUGUGUGAUUCAAUCAAGAAGGAGUUAAGGAAGAGGAAUAUUACAAAAGCAAGUCUACACAGCUUUAUGGAAACAAGCCUUGACAAGCAGGCCUGACUUCACUUUCUGAUGAGAUUACAAGUUUGUUUGAUCAAGGUAACCACAUAGAUGUGAUAUACUUGGACUUUCCUAAUAAAUUCAAUUUAGUACUGCU
This 1601-nucleotide long non-coding RNA is filed under the name Gallus gallus (chicken). RNAcentral's name for it is "lncRNA (ENSGALG00000049057.2)". The record is from RNAcentral. Lineage: Eukaryota; Metazoa; Chordata; Aves; Galliformes; Phasianidae.